Long non-coding RNA from Oncorhynchus keta (chum salmon), 1293 nucleotides. RefSeq lists it as uncharacterized. NCBI's taxonomy places the organism in Eukaryota, Metazoa, Chordata, Actinopteri, Salmoniformes, Salmonidae. The transcript is spliced from 4 exons. The record is from RefSeq and is a predicted model, not a curated record.
UGAUGGGUCUGGCAGUGCCCAGUAAGAGGUUGUAUUGGUUGUUUAUUGAUGGGUCUGGCAGUGCCCAGUCUGUUUAUUGAUGGGUCUGGCAGUGCCCAGUAAGAGGUUGUAUUGGUUGUUUAUUGAUGGGUCUGGCAGUGCCCAGUCUGUUUAUUGAUGGGGCUGGCAGUGCCCAGUAAGAGGUUGUAUUGGUUGUUUAUUGAUGGGUCUGGCAGUGCCCAGUUAGAGGUUGUAUUGGUUGUUUAUUGAUGGGGCUGGCAGUGCCCAGUCUGUUUAUUGAUGGGUCUGGCAGUGCCCAGUAAGAGGUUGUAUUGGUUGUUUAUUGAUGGGUCUGGCAGUGCCCAGUCUGUUUAUUGAUGGGGCUGGCAGUGCCCAGUAAGAGGUUGUAUUGGUUGUUUAUUGAUGGGGCUGGCAGUGCCCAGUUAGAGGUUGUAUUGGUUGUUUAUUGAUGGGGCUGGCAGUGCCCAGUAAGAGGUUGUAUUGGUUGUUUAUUGAUGGGGCUGGCAGUGCCCCAGUAAGAGGUUGUAUUGGUUGUUUAUUGAUGGGGCUGGCAGUGCCCCAGUUAGAGGUUGUAUUGGUUGUUUAUUGAUGGGUCUGGCAGUGCCCCAGUAAGAGGUUGUAUUGGUUGUUUAUUGAUGGGGCUGGCAGUGCCCAGUCUGUUUAUUGAUGGGUCUGGCAGUGCCCAGUUAGAGGUUGUAUUGGUUGUUUAUUGAUGGGUCUGGCAGUGCCCCAGUAAGAGGUUGUAUUGGUUGUUUAUUGAUGGGGCUGGCAGUGCCCAGUAAGAGGUUGUAUUGGUUGUUUAUUGAUGGGUCUGGCAGUGCCCAGUAAGAGGUUGUAUUGGUUGUUUAUUGAUGGGGCUGGCAGUGCCCAGUAAGAGGUUGUAUUGGUUGUUUAUUGAUGGGGCUGGCAGUGCCCAGUCUGUUUAUUGAUGGGGCUGGCAGUGCCCAGUAAGAGGUUGUAUUGGUUGUUUAUUGAUGGGGCUGGCAGUGCCCAGUCUGAUGUUUAUUUAUGGGUCUGGCAGUGCCCAGUCUGUUUAUUGAUGGGUCUGGCAGUGCCCCAGUUAGAGUUGUAUUGGUUGUUUAUUGAUGGGGCUGGCAGUGCCCAGUAAGAGGUUGUAUUGGUUGUUUAUUGAUGGGGCUGGCAGUGCCCAGUCUGAUGUUUAUUUAUGGGUCUGGCAGUGCCCAGUCUGUUUAUUGAUGGGGCUGGCUGUGCCCAGUCUGUUUAUUGAUGGGGCUGGCAGUGCCCAGUCUGAUGUUUAUUUCUGGGGCUGGCAGUGCCCAGUCUGAUGUUUAU